GAUUAACGCUGGCGGCGUGCCUAACACAUGCAAGUCGAGCGGCAGCGAGUUUUACACUGACUUCUGGAAGCUUCUAGUUGAAAGAGAAGAUUUAUUCAAGAAUUUUGUGUAAAAUGUCGGCGAGCGGCGGACGGCUGAGUAACGCGUGGGAACGUACCCCAAAGUGAGGGAUAACGCAUCGAAAGGUGUGCUAAUACCGCAUAUGGUCUUCGGAUUAAAGCCUUCGGGCGCUUUGGGAACGGCCUGCGUAAGAUUAGAUAGUUGGUGGGGUAAUGGCCUACUAAGUCGACGAUCUUUAACUGGUUUGAGAGGAUGAUCAGUCAGACUGGAACUGGGACACGGUCCAGACUCCUACGGGAGGCAGCAGUGAGGAAUCUUCCACAAUGGGCGAAAGCCUGAUGGAGCAACGCCGCGUGCAGGAUGAAGGCCUUCGGGUUGUAAACUGCUUUUAUAAGUGAGGAUUAUGACAGUAACUUAUGAAUAAGGAUCGGCUAACUACGU
RNAcentral lists this ribosomal RNA (501 nucleotides) under uncultured bacterium. Its description in RNAcentral is "partial 16S ribosomal RNA". It matches the Rfam family "Bacterial small subunit ribosomal RNA", at positions 28 to 506 of the family's 1533-position model. The record is from RNAcentral.